GACGAACGCUGGCGGCGUGCCUAACACAUGCAAGUCGAGCGGUAAGGCCCUUUCGGGGGUACACGAGCGGCGAACGGGUGAGUAACACGUGGGUGACCUGCCCUCAGCUCUGGGAUAAGCCCGGGAAACUGGGUCUAAUACCGGAUAUGACUUCAUGACGCAUGUUGUGGAGUGGAAAGCCUUGUGCGGCUGAGGAUGGGCCCGCGGCCUAUCAGCUUGUUGGUGGGGGGAUGGCCUACC
This 240-nucleotide ribosomal RNA is filed under the name uncultured bacterium. RNAcentral's name for it is "partial 16S ribosomal RNA". It matches the Rfam family "Bacterial small subunit ribosomal RNA", at positions 28 to 269 of the family's 1533-position model. The record is from RNAcentral.